This is a non-coding RNA of Microcebus murinus (gray mouse lemur), 923 nucleotides long. The record is from RefSeq and is a predicted model, not a curated record. NCBI's taxonomy places the organism in Eukaryota, Metazoa, Chordata, Mammalia, Primates, Cheirogaleidae.
CUCCGGGCAGCGGCGUCGCCUUAGAGAAGGGCGCGCUCUGGGGCAGUGAGCGGUGUUUGCGUGGAGGAGCGCCAUGGGCAUGGAGGGAAGGGACCAUGAGGACUAGGGGUGCCCGGUGGGCAGCUCCCGGAGGUUGGCCUGGCCUCAGUGAAUCCAGAAUACAUAGGCUCUGCUUGGGAGCCGGAAUUUUGAUAGAGAUUAUGUUGAAUGCUCGCAGGACCGGCUGCAUCCUUGGCUCAAGGCCCUUCCUUCAAAGACCAGCAGCAGCAGAUCCUCCUAAGUCACACCUCCCUGACCUUUCUCCCAUCCUUGAAUCCCUCUCUCUCAGCCAGAAACGUGCUCUUCUUAAGGAUUCAUGAGACAAGACUGAAUUCACCUGGAUAACCCGGCUAUGCUCCCCAUCUUAAGUGCACAUACCCUUUGUCACACUUGCGUGUGAGCUAACAGAGUCACAGGCUCUGCGGACUGGGGCUUAGACAUCUCUGGUUGGCUGUUGUUCAGUAGAUCACAGAGAGCAAGGAGUUGGAGAUGUAGGGAAGCACAUGCAGUCCUUGGAUGUUCUGGUAUCCAGUCCAGCCCUGGCAUGAGCGGGGAACUGAGUCCAAGGCACUAAAUUUACUCUCCCGCUUUACUUAGUUAUAAAAUGAUAAAACCACCUGCAUCUCAGGGUGGUUGGGAGAAUUAAAAAGACCAAGUCUUAGAAGGCAUCUGGCCAGUGUGUGGGCCAAGUCAUGUAUUCCAUAAAGGCUUCUUGAACCUACAGGAAUAACAUAUGAGAGAGCUCUCUGAAAACCACAAACACAAGGCAAAUCUAAGUUAUUAAUAUUAUAGCAAACUUGGACUGGCCUAAUGGGUAAAGAAGAAUACUGAUUUAGGAUUUUCAAAAGGAUAGUUGCUUUACAAGCUAUUUGAUUUACCUUUUG